UACGUAGGGUCCGAGCGUUGUCCGGAAUUACUGGGCGUAAAGAGCUCGUAGGUGGUUUGUCGCGUUGUUCGUGAAAACUCACAGCUCAACUGUGGGCGUGCGGGCGAUACGGGCAGACUAGAGUACUGCAGGGGAGACUGGAAUUCCUGGUGUGGCGGUGGAAUGCGCAGAUAUCAGGAGGAACACCGGUGGCGAAGGCGGGUCUCUGGGCAGUAACUGACGCUGAGGAGCGAAAGCGUGGGGAGCGAACAGG
This 253-nucleotide ribosomal RNA is filed under the name uncultured bacterium. RNAcentral's name for it is "partial 16S ribosomal RNA". It matches the Rfam family "Bacterial small subunit ribosomal RNA", at positions 524 to 776 of the family's 1533-position model. The record is from RNAcentral.